This 253-nucleotide unclassified non-coding RNA is filed under the name uncultured Chlamydiales bacterium. Its description in RNAcentral is "contains 16S-23S intergenic spacer region". It matches the Rfam family "Bacterial small subunit ribosomal RNA", at positions 524 to 776 of the family's 1533-position model. The record is from RNAcentral. Lineage: Bacteria; Pseudomonadati; Chlamydiota; Chlamydiia; Chlamydiales.
UACGUAGGGUGCAAGCAUUAAUCGGAAUUAUUGGGCGUAAAGGGCGCGUAGGCGGAUUGAUAAGUCAGAUGUGAAAUACCAAAGCUCAACUUUGGUGCUGCAUUUGAAACUGUCUUUCUAGAGGAUUGACGGAGAAAGCGGAAUUCCACGUGUAGCGGUGAAAUGCGUAGAUACGUGGAGGAACACCGGUGGCGAAAGCGGCUUUCUAGUUUAUACCUGACGCUGAGGCGCGAGAGCAAGGGGAGCAAACAGG